RNAcentral lists this non-coding RNA (797 nucleotides) under Pongo abelii (Sumatran orangutan). The record is from RNAcentral. Lineage: Eukaryota; Metazoa; Chordata; Mammalia; Primates; Hominidae.
AGAAUCCUGCAAUAUGUCCUUGGAAGGUUUCUGCUGAAAAUUUCAACGCCUCCUGCAAAAAGAAGGAAGAGAAAGAAAAGGAGAAAACAGAGGCAGAGGAUAUUUCCCUAGAAGAGAUUCUGUGAAACGCUCCCUCUUAUGGAAACACACGUAAAAUCUGUCUCUUGCCUGUCUUCCCGUUGAAGAUCAACCAGUUAGUUCUCCCGCCAGGUUUGAGGACCCGGGCUCAGGCCCUGGCAGGUAUCCGGGAAGGUCCCUCUCCCUAACCCGGGCGAGGAGCAUCGGUGACCGCUGCAAGCCCUCGGCAGCAUCCCAGCUUGGCAGCCCCUCCCCCUGGCCUCCCCAACCCGGCGCCCUGGGGAGGAUGGGGCACUUACAGGCGGCGACUGAGCCCCUCUACCGAGCGCCCGCAGGAGGGCACCGCGUAGCUCAGCAGGAACACCGCGACGCUCCACUGCUGAACCAGUCUCCGCUGCAUCUUCUCCGCUCGCGCUCGGGACCUGCAACAGAAGGGAAUGGGACCCGAGUGUCAGUCUGGACUCUCCAUCUCCCCGCACUACUCCGCUCCCCCUUUUUAGCCCGCUCUCAAAAAGCCUCUUCAACAUCAAGGGCAUCUCCCAAGUUGAAAAGAAAAAAAAUUUCUCUGGAGCCUCUCAGCACUUACUUAUUUAGCAACCGGCUACUCCAACUGUGCUUUCUCCAAACCACACAGCCAGAAAGAGCAAAAAGGGAAAAAAGAAACAAAUCAGAGGCGCUUCCUCUGAAAUAAUAGAGAAAAUGAAAUGGUUUUAUAUAUG